UAAAUAAUUUCUCCGUCCAACAAAGGAUGUCUCAAUUUUGACUAAAUUUGAAUGCAUCUAUACACUAAGUCAUGUCUAGAUACAUUCAAAUUUUAACAAAUUUGAGGCAUCAUUUAUUGGACGGAUGGAUUACGAA
Molecule: non-coding RNA, 136 nt
Organism: Brachypodium distachyon (stiff brome)
Lineage: Eukaryota; Viridiplantae; Streptophyta; Magnoliopsida; Poales; Poaceae
Source: Rfam